Long non-coding RNA from Macaca fascicularis (crab-eating macaque), 1763 nucleotides. The record is from Ensembl. Lineage: Eukaryota; Metazoa; Chordata; Mammalia; Primates; Cercopithecidae.
GGGGGAGGUUGUAGGUCUGAAGUGACCACUAGUGAAGGAUGAGCUGGGACAAGUCAUGGUGCAGCCUGCAGGAGGUGAUGAGUGUGUUAGGGAGGUGAGGAGGGAAGGAGUCCCCAGGAGGGCCUGUGGGUGUAGGUUGUAGCUUGUGCAAGGGCCUGGGAGCCUGAAAACAGCCUGAGAUGGGAUGGGCUGGGCGGGGUCUGCGCAUUGCCAGAGCUGAGCUGCAGCCAGAGGCCCAAUCCCUGCUGCUGCUCUGCCUUUCACUGCUGGCCACCGCUCUGCCUAUUUGCCUGCCCACAAAUUGGGGGUGAUUAUGGCAACUCCCUCUUAACUAGUGUUUGGCCUAUCCUGAGCCUGGUGUGUUUGUUAAACAAAAGCUGAGUCCACCUGGUGGGUGGCAGGUGGGAGCAGGGGAGUGACAGGGGCUCACUCUGGUUGCCCUGGGGCAUACAAGAAGGGAAGGGUGAGGCCAGGCUAGUGGCCUAACACCAGCGGGUCUCACCUCAGAGCACACACAAAUCCUGGUGUGCCAAGAGAUAUUUAAAUAUUUAAAGAAAAAGUUUUAUUUCCUAUGCAUUUCUUUUCAUAUGCGUUAGGGGAGAAAAUGAGCUACUACAUGAAACCUUUUUUUACAGAUGUUAUUAUUUGAAAUCAUGAAAGUUUCCAAUCUUGAACAAAUUUUAAAUAAAAUCCCUAGUGAGAGGGCAGUUUAAGGAAAAAUUAUCUGGAGUUGGGGUAUUUUAGUGGUUCACUGAUACAGCGGAUACAGCCAGGUGUACCAGCUAUGGCAUCUGUUCGGAGAGAGCUGCAAUCUGAGAACUGCCACCCCUCAGGAGCUAGGCUGUGUGGUUGUGGGGGCAGCAUUCCCCAGCCACACCACACCGUUCCUCACUUUAUUUAAUUUAUUUUUUUGAAAUGGAGUCUAGCUCUGUCACCCAGGCUGGAGUAUAGUGGUACGAUCUCGGCUCACUGCAACCUUCACCUCCUGGGUUCAAAUGAUUCUCGUGCCUCAGCCUCCAGGGUAGCUGGGACAACAGGUGCCUGCCACCAUGCCCAGCUGAUUUUCAUAUUUUUAGUAGAGACAUUGUUUCACCAUGCUGGCCAGGGUGGUCUGGAACUCCUGACCUCGAGUGAUCCGUGCACCUCAGCCUCCCAAAAUGCUGAUAUUACAGGCGUGAGCCACGGCGUCCCCAUUCCUCACUUUAGCCUCAGGCAGAGAAGCCAGCGCGAUGGGGAGACACUUGUGUAGGAAGGUGUCCAAUGCGGUAUUGCAAAUCAACAGGAAACAUUGCCAGCAGCCGCAGCGAGCAGCAAGUGGGGAAGGAAGUGAGAGAGCAUGGACGUGCAGAGCUUCCUGUAGCCAUGAGGGUGGUCAGUGCAGCCUCUGCAUCCACAAGGAAAAGGUGGAGGACAUUCAGGCACUAAGGGGUGCUCCCCAGGCUUAUAUGAGAAACCUGUGGCACAGACAGCCACACAGGAGUAGUGAACUACAACCAUGGAAUUUGAAAUUUAGUGUCUAAUACUUGGUUCUAAAAUUGGGUUGAUUUAAAUUCAGAAGUGUGCCCUACUCUGACAAAUGUUAAAAUAGACUAACAGAAGACACAUUUUGACACAGAGGCCCUGGGUUUGAGACUCCUCCAUUAUCCCUAAACCAGAGGAAGAGUUACUGUGUGAGAGCUGGGGAUAUUUGAUCUGAUUUCUGUUUAGUUUCUGUAAUGUAGCUUGGCUACCUUUAAAAUUAAAAAAAAUAAAAAUAAAAACCA